Molecule: long non-coding RNA, 245 nt
Organism: Dioscorea cayenensis subsp. rotundata (Guinea yam)
Lineage: Eukaryota; Viridiplantae; Streptophyta; Magnoliopsida; Dioscoreales; Dioscoreaceae
Exons: 3
Source: RefSeq, a predicted model, not a curated record
AUGAAUGAAUAUUUGUACAGUAGGUCCAAAUAAUUAUAUUGUCCUUUGCAGGUAAAUUGUCAUGACCCUAUGGAUGGAAUAGAUCCACAAGUUCUAGAGGAUCAUUUGCAAUUGGUUGAUCACCUAAUUGAAUCUCAAUUCAGUGAAAAAAUUACAACAUUUGAAAAUGUUCAAGUGGAACCUUUACAGGGUAUUAUUACACAAGAGCAUGAUGCACACAAUGCUGAAGAAAGGAGGCCAGAAAG